CCAGACUCCUACGGGAGGCAGCAGUGGGGGAUAUUGCACAAUGGGGGAAACCCUGAUGCAGCGACGCCGCGUGAGUGAAGAAGUAUUUCGGUAUGUAAAGCUCUAUCAGCAGGGAAGAAAAAAGACGGUACCUGACUAAGAAGCCCCGGCUAACUACGUGCCAGCAGCCGCGGUAAUACGUAGGGGGCAAGCGUUAUCCGGAUUUACUGGGUGUAAAGGGAGCGUAGACGGCAAUACAAGUCGGAAGUGAAAUACCCGGGCUUAACCUGGGAACUGCUUUGGAAACUGUGCAGCUAGAGUGCAGGAGGGGUAAGUGGAAUUCCUAGUGUAGCGGUGAAAUGCGUAGAUAUUAGGAGGAACACCAGUGGCGAAGGCGGCUUACUGGACUGUAACUGACGUUGAGGCUCGAAAGCGUGGGGAGCAAACAGGAUUAGAUACCCUGGUAA
Molecule: ribosomal RNA, 446 nt
Filed under: uncultured bacterium
Lineage: Bacteria
Description: bacterial SSU rRNA
Rfam family: Bacterial small subunit ribosomal RNA
Source: RNAcentral